Molecule: ribosomal RNA, 254 nt
Filed under: uncultured bacterium
Lineage: Bacteria
Description: partial 16S ribosomal RNA
Rfam family: Bacterial small subunit ribosomal RNA
Source: RNAcentral
UACGUAGGGUGCGAGCGUUGUCCGGAAUUAUUGGGCGUAAAGAGCUCGUAGGCGGUGUGUCGCGUCGGUCGUGAAAACUUGGGGCUUAACCCUGAGCUUGCGGUCGAUACGGGCAUCACUGGAGUUCGGCAGGGGAGACUGGAAUUCCUGGUGUAGCGGUGAAAUGCGCAGAUAUCAGGAGGAACACCCGUAGCGAAGGCGGCACUCUGGGCCGGUACUGACGCUGAGGAGCGAAAGCGUGGGGAGCAAACAGG